UACGUAGGGGGCUAGCGUUGUCCGGAAUCAUUGGGCGUAAAGAGCGUGUAGGCGGCCAGGUAGGUCUGCUGUGAAAACUCGAGGCUCAACCUCGAGACGUCGGCGGAAACCAUCUGGCUAGAGUCCGGAAGAGGAGAGUGGAAUUCCUGGUGUAGCGGUGAAAUGCGCAGAUAUCAGGAAGAACACCCGUGGCGAAGGCGGCCACCUAGCCCACUCCUGACGCUGAGGCGCGACAGCGUGGGGAGCGAACUGG
This 253-nucleotide ribosomal RNA is filed under the name uncultured bacterium. RNAcentral describes it as "partial 16S ribosomal RNA". It matches the Rfam family "Bacterial small subunit ribosomal RNA", at positions 524 to 776 of the family's 1533-position model. The record is from RNAcentral.